Eurypyga helias (sunbittern) is the source of this 826-nucleotide long non-coding RNA. RefSeq lists it as uncharacterized. NCBI's taxonomy places the organism in Eukaryota, Metazoa, Chordata, Aves, Eurypygiformes, Eurypygidae. The transcript has 2 exons. The record is from RefSeq and is a predicted model, not a curated record.
UCAGGAGCCUCUUUCUGUGUUUCCCCGCAGUCGAGGAACAGUGGGCAGCAAGGGGACAUGGAUGGAGCCCGGCGACUCGGCCGCAUGGCCAGGCUGCUCAGCAUCGUCUCCAUUAUCCUGGGGACCAUCAUCAUCGUGCUCUACAUUUCACUCAGCGUCAGAGUUUCCUAGAAGAUGUUUCAGCAUGCAGAUACCUCGAAGAGGAGGAAGACAACUUUCCUUUUGGGGUUUUUACUUUCAGCCUUGCAACAAAAAAUUGUCACAGUGUAGGUGGGCAGCCCUAGACAGCCUGCUCUGGAGCGCCGUCGGAAGGAACGCAUGCUUCUACUUCACCGCCUCUUGGAAAUGAGUUUGUACGAGUGAUGGGAUAAAAAACAUCGCAAGAAGGAAUGGGAACGAACAUCGGACACCGAGCGGAGAGGAGAAGGGGGAAAUGCACUACCUCAUUCCCCUCCAGCAAAACUCACGGAGUGGGGAAGACAACUAAAAUACAAGAGGAGGAGAGAGUUUCAAGAACGAAGCUUAUUUUAAAAGAAAAAUUUAAGGCGAGAACGGGACAUUUUGAGGAGUCCUCCUAAGAAUUUUGGCACAAGUCACUGAGUUUUUUGGGGCGUUGUUGGUUUUUAAAUCGUCAUUCUCUGUCUCUAUAAAAAAAAACAAAACAAAACAAAACAAAGCUCAAACUGCCAUCGGGAGCUGAGAGCUGUUCCACGGAGCAGGAGGGAGAGCAGAGCUGCAGCAGGACCACGGCUCUUCUCCCAACGAAACGCAGCGCAAAAGCUGGAGGAUGUGGUGGGUGCUUUUGUAUUUUUGAUGAAAAAAAAAA